Molecule: ribosomal RNA, 497 nt
Filed under: uncultured bacterium
Lineage: Bacteria
Description: partial 16S ribosomal RNA
Rfam family: Bacterial small subunit ribosomal RNA
Source: RNAcentral
GACGAACGCUGGCGGCGUGCCUAAUACAUGCAAGUAGAACGCUGAAGAGAGGAGCUUGCUCUUCUUGGAUGAGUUGCGAACGGGUGAGUAACGCGUAGGUAACCUGCCUGGUAGCGGGGGAUAACUAUUGGAAACGAUAGCUAAUACCGCAUAAAAUUGAUUAUUGCAUGAUAAUUAAUUGAAAGAUGCAACUGCAUCACUACCAGAUGGACCUGCGUUGUAUUAGCUAGUUGGUGAGGUAACGGCUCACCAAGGCGACGAUACAUAGCCGACCUGAGGGGGUGAUCGGCCACACUGGGACUGAGACACGGCCCAGACUCCUACGGGAGGCAGCAGUAGGGAAUCUUCGGCAAUGGGGGGAACCCUGACCGAGCAACGCCGCGUGAGUGAAGAAGGUUUUCGGAUCGUAAAGCUCUGUUGUAAGAGAAGAACGGGUGUGAGAGUGGAAAGUUCACACUGUGACGGUAUCUUACCAGAAAGAGACGGCUAACUACGUG